This 253-nucleotide ribosomal RNA is filed under the name uncultured bacterium. Its description in RNAcentral is "partial 16S ribosomal RNA". It matches the Rfam family "Bacterial small subunit ribosomal RNA", at positions 524 to 776 of the family's 1533-position model. The record is from RNAcentral.
UACGAAGGGAGCUAGCGUUGUUCGGAAUCACUGGGCGUAAAGCGCACGUAGGCGGAUGUGUCAGUCAGGGGUGAAAUCCCGGAGCUCAACUUCGGAACUGCCUCUGAUACAGCACGUCUUGAGUCCGAUAGAGGUGGGUGGAAUUCCUAGUGUAGAGGUGAAAUUCGUAGAUAUUAGGAAGAACACCGGUGGCGAAGGCGGCUACCUGGACGGGUACUGACGCUGCAGCGCGAAAGCUAGGGGAGCAAACAGG